AACGUAGGAGGCAAGCGUUAUCCGGAGUAAUUGGGCGUAAAGGGUGCGUAGGCGGCGGGGCAAGUCAGGUGUGAAAUCCCGGAGCUCAACUCCGGAACUGCACUUGAUACUGCCUCGCUAGAGUACUGGAGAGGAGACUGGAAUUUACGGUGUAGCAGUGAAAUGCGUAGAUAUCGUAAGGAAGACCAGUGGCGAAGGCGAGUCUCUGGACAGUUACUGACGCUGAGGCACGAAGGCCAGGGGAGCAAACGGG
This 253-nucleotide ribosomal RNA is filed under the name uncultured bacterium. RNAcentral's name for it is "partial 16S ribosomal RNA". It matches the Rfam family "Bacterial small subunit ribosomal RNA", at positions 524 to 776 of the family's 1533-position model. The record is from RNAcentral.